Long non-coding RNA from Musa acuminata AAA Group (dessert banana), 4063 nucleotides. RefSeq lists it as uncharacterized. The record is from RefSeq and is a predicted model, not a curated record. Lineage: Eukaryota; Viridiplantae; Streptophyta; Magnoliopsida; Zingiberales; Musaceae. The transcript has 2 exons.
UUAGACAUGAACACCCACACCCGCGGCGCCGGCCAAACCCUAGCUUUCUGCUCUCCCGAGGGGCGUCUGGCCCCUGAUUCAUUUAGGAUCUCCCAUGGAGAUCGCAUCGCGGGUGUGGUUGUUCCGGUUAUAGGCUUCGCUGCAGCCGCUCUGUGGCCGGAGAUUGAGGCGGCCCUUCGCGGAGAUGGCCACUGCGAACCCCUUCGAGCUCCUCGGCAGUAGCGAAGCUUCCCACAAGAAUUUUACCCCACCUUGUUCAAUCCGUGAGGGAGGCGAGAAAUGCUGCACCAUCACGCGGUGGUGCUGGCCGUGGCGAAACAAGGGAUGGAAGAGGUGGUCGAAGUGGCGGGACGUGCCCAAAUCGUUACUUUGGAAAUGGCAACGCCAAUGGGAUCUCUAAGGGAUAUGGUGGUGGUGGUGGCGAUAGGCUUCUGGAGAGGGAACGCCCGCCGUGUCAGCCAUUUGGUGGUGGCCACGUGGUAGAUAUGGGGGCAGUGGUGGCAGUGGGAUUGAGCACUCUGGAGGUGACUCUGAACGGUCCUCACGUAGGUUGUAUGAGUGGCGCAGUGGCACAGGCUGAGGUUAUGAGACUAAACGCCAUGGGGCAGGACUUGGUAACUGUGGCACAGUUAAGAUUUCCUCUUCGUUUGUGAUUCAUGAUAUACUCGGAAGAAUUUUGGUGAAGGUAUGUUUGCAGUUGCCAUCACUGAUCUUGUUACGUUUGUGGAACUGUAUUAGAAGACAGUGAGAAGGAUGAUGUUUCUAAUGCCGAUAAGACUCUUGCAACCGAAAAGCAGCUAGAACACGAAAAAACCACCAACAGAUAUGAGCAAGGACAAUAAGUAGGGUAUGCCUCCUGAGACAGAAGAAAAGGAGGAUAAGUUAGCUUCAUUCUUUACAUACAUUAUUGUGAUAUAAUGCUCUAACGAUUGCAUGGCUCAAAAACAACCUUUUAUAAUUUAUUGAGUACAAGUUUUUUCAAAGAACAAAAUGUUCAUUUCAAUCAGUUACUUCUUCAUGGUUGUUUGUUGUGUUAUAUAGUACACUGUAACAUGGGAAAUUUAUCAUAAACUUUGAUUGAUGAGUUUUGGUGCAAUUUUGCAGGAGUUGGGAUAUAUUAGAACGAACAUUUAUUCUGCCUAGUUUCCUACUCAUUCAAAUGUUUCUUUAGUAUGUGUGGCAUCUCUUUACCAACAGGAUCCAUGUAUAUAUAGACACAUAAUGUUUCUUUUUCCUUCUUUUGCUAAUUUGAACGUAGUGGUUCAUUUACCACCAUACUGAGGUUGCAAAUUGUUAUUGUUGUUUCUCCUAGUUUUUGUCUGUAUACAGCAACUACCAUAAUGUCUAGCUUCUCAAAAUUCAUCUUAACAUUGAGCUCUCUGUAAGUGACCAUCAGUAGUCACACCAAGAGCAAACAAAUAUUUUUUUUAUCUGCAGUAAAAUUUCUCUGGUCUCCCUCAAUCUCUCCUCAUGUUACUAAUCUCAGUCAACUCAUCUUAUUUAUUGAGACAACUAAGAUCUCCUUUGGAUUGUUUGUUCAAUUUGAAAUCUUCUUUCUCAUAUUAUGGUGGGUUUUAUUAAAGAAAGGUAUAUCCAUAAAUUAUAUUGAUAUUAAAUAUAUAUAUGAUAAUGUAAUUAUUAGUGUUAGAACUAUAGGAAGUGUGUCUAUUGAAUUUUCUAUUAGCAUAGUAUUGCAUCAAUGAUUCGCAUAAAGUCUCUAUCUUUUCACAUUGAUAAUGGAUGAACUUAUUGGUCACUUAUAUGAUAGAGCUCCCUGGUGUAUGUUAUUUGUUGAUGAUAUUGUCUUAGUUGAUGAGAGCCUAAGUGGAAUUAAUUAUAUAUGUGAGCUAUGGAAACAACCAUUAGAAACUAAAGAUUUUAGAUUUAAUAGAACCAAAGCUGAAUAUAUGAGAUGUGAUUUUAGUAAUCUUAAAAUUAGACAGAAUAAUAUAGAUAAGUUGGAUGAACAAUAAGUUCCUUUAAGUAAAACCCUUAGGUGUAUGUUAUUUGUUGAUGAUAUUGUCUUAGUUGAUGAGAGCCUAAAUGGAAUUAAUUUUAUAUGUAAGCUAUGGAGACAACCAUUAGAAACUAAAGAUUUUAGAUUUAAUAGGACCAAAGAUGAAUAUAUGAGAUGUAAUUUUAGUAAUCUUAAAAUUAGACAGAAUAAUAUAGAUAAGUUGGAUGAAUAAUAAGUUCCUUUAAGUAAAACCCUUAGGUAUCUUGGAUCAAUUAUUCAACAAGAUGGAGAGACUGAUGAAGAUAUUAUUUAUAAAGUAAAAACAUGAUGAUUAAAAUGGCAAGGGAUAUUAGGAGUCUUAUCUGAUUAUCAUAGACCUUUGAGAUUAAAGGAAAAUUUUAUAAAAUCGUUGUAAGACCAAUAAUAUUUUAUGGAUCUGAGUGUUGGGUAGUUACGAAAUAACAUAUACAAAAAAUUUGUACUGCCGAAAUGAGAACGUUAAGAUAGAUGUGUUGAGUUAUUAGGAAAGAUAGAAAAAAAAAUAUUAUUAUUUGUGAACAACUAAGUAACACAAUAGAGGACAAUCAUUUAAGAUAAUAUAUACAUGUGUUUAGGAGACUUCCAAAUAUGAUAGUCAGAAGAGGUAAAAUGAUUAAUGUUAAUGAUACGAAAGAAAUAGAGGAAGACUUAAAGACUUUAAUAGAAACUAUAAAUAAAGAUUUAAAUACUCUGAACUUAACUAAACAUAUGAUUUUUUACAGAUCUCAAUGAUAAUAAAAGAUACAUGUAGUCGACCUCAAAUAAUUGGGCUUACGGUCUUGUUGUUAUUGUUGUAUGCUUUGUUGUGACUAAAAGUAAUAAUUGAUGAAUUUGAGCACUUCUUAUUCCACUUUUUGCUUCAAUUUAUUUCAGUUAUAUUUUUUUAUGUUUUUGAUUGCUCAAAUAAUAUGUUUGGAUAACUGAUCAUCUUUCUGUAGUUGUAGUUUCCAGGUUGAAGUCUUUGUGCUGUAAUAUAAUGCUUUUGUACAUCUAUGUUGUAAUUUGGCUUGAUAUUAAUUGUUUAUUUCUUUCCUUCAAGUUUUCCAUUGUUUAAGCUAAGUAGCUAAUAGUUAUAGUUGCAUGGUAACUGGAAUAGAAACUGUUUAAUAUUUAAUUCUUCGAAAACUUGCUCUUGUGCUAUGCUUACUAGAAAAUGAACGAAGUAUAAUGAAUGUAACUUCGAAUGGCACAUAUACACAUUAAACUGUCUAUUAAUGUAUUACCCUUUUAGAAUGUUGUUAUUUGCACACUUUUGCAUGUAUGCCAGUUUCGUGACUUUGACAAAUAACUUCUCCAUGCCUUGGUUUAGUUCAUUUUGUUUAUUUCAUGACAUAAAAGAUUGAAAUAGGAUUUGUUUAACAUGAAAAGAAAAUAUUAAGGGGUAUUUGGCAAUUCAAUGCAGGACUUUUAUUAAGUACAGAAGGUUUUAUGUAUUAAUUACACUAAAGGUUUAUUAUCUAGUUGUUUUAGCUAGUUGACUGAAAAAUCAACAUCUAGGGGUGACAAGUGAACUUAUUUGUAGAGCAUCCGCCCGAACAUGACAUUUUGAGUAGUAAAUAAUGCACCUCAGGUUAUCUGAAGAAAUCUUUUCAAGGUAUCCUUGAUGUCUGUUCUUCUCUGGUUUGGCUUGUACUACUGUUUGAUGUUGUGGUAAUGCACCUCAGUACUACUGCUUGGUGUGUACAUUGUGUCUAUCUAUUUUGCUUCUGCCACCUGGGAAACGAUGAUAUAGUGUAUGUGUAUUAUUUGACUCGUUCAACGUGAUCCCGAAGGGGAUGACUAUGGAAGAGUACGAGAAGAUAAGGGAGGAGAAAAGAAAGUCUUUGCUUGCAAUAAAAGUCAGAAAGGAAGGUUGAAAUUGACAAAGAUUUGCGGUCUAUGCAGUAACCUUCAACCAAGAAAGGAAAGCCAUGCUGUGUUCGUAUAUGCUAUGUUUUGUUUGUCGUAUUGCUACUAAGGUACAUUACUAAUUUUAUGAAUUUUUUUUUUUGCAAAGGAUAAAUCUUGAUCCUAUAUCAUAGGAUGAUUUGAUAAAGUUUUUAUUAAUCAAACUAGCUAGCAUGUUCA